This is a long non-coding RNA of Triticum dicoccoides, 220 nucleotides long. RefSeq lists it as uncharacterized. NCBI's taxonomy places the organism in Eukaryota, Viridiplantae, Streptophyta, Magnoliopsida, Poales, Poaceae. The transcript is spliced from 3 exons. The record is from RefSeq and is a predicted model, not a curated record.
CCAACCUCCCUCGCCAAGAUGUCGACGGUGACCCACGCCUACCUCGACCAGAGGCUCGCCGCCGCCAAGCGCUGCUCCAGAGAGGGUGCCAUGGCCGGAGCCAAGGCCGCGGCCGUCGCCACCGUCGCUGCCGCAGUGCCCACCAUAACUGGCGAGCGUGAGGAUGCUUCCGUGGGCGAGGGCGCACCUGAACCCAACCGGGCAGGCGCUCAUCAUCUCC